CCUACGGGAGGCAGCAGUGAGGAAUAUUGGUCAAUGGGCGCGAGCCUGAACCAGCCAAGUAGCGUGAAGGAUGACUGCCCUACGGGUUGUAAACUUCUUUUAUAAAGGAAUAAAGUGAGGCACGUGUGCCUUUUUGUAUGUACUUUAUGAAUAAGGAUCGGCUAACUCCGUGCCAGCAGCCGCGGUAAUACGGAGGAUCCGAGCGUUAUCCGGAUUUAUUGGGUUUAAAGGGAGCGUAGAUGGGUUGUUAAGUCAGUUGUGAAAGUUUGCGGCUCAACCGUAAAAUUGCAGUUGAAACUGGAGGCCUGGAGUGCACACAGGGAUGCCGGAAUUCAUGGUGUAGCGGUGAAAUGCUUAGAUAUCAUGAAGAACUCCGAUCGCGAAGGCAAGUGGCCGGGGUGCAACUGACGCUGAGGCUCGAAAGUGCGGGUAUCAAACAGGAUUAGAUACCCGGGUAGUC
RNAcentral lists this ribosomal RNA (460 nucleotides) under uncultured bacterium. Its description in RNAcentral is "partial 16S ribosomal RNA". It matches the Rfam family "Bacterial small subunit ribosomal RNA", at positions 338 to 795 of the family's 1533-position model. The record is from RNAcentral.